Molecule: long non-coding RNA, 1345 nt
Filed under: Callithrix jacchus (white-tufted-ear marmoset)
Lineage: Eukaryota; Metazoa; Chordata; Mammalia; Primates; Cebidae
Description: lncRNA (ENSCJAG00000070419.1)
Source: RNAcentral
UUUGAGUGCUGCUCUUCGUAAGGGAGGUUCAUUGUUGUCAGAAAGAUAUGCCCAGAGAGAUAGGGGGUUGACAAAAUUCACCCCACAAAUCAAAUAAGCCAACUGUGAGGCAGACUGCCUAUGUGGAAUUGGAAUUACAUUUGUUCAACAGCCAGAGGAGAGACAAUGUCUUUGCUGGCAAUCAGCAUUUUCUUAUCUUUAUUAUCACCUGAAAUUACUAAAGGCAAAGGAGAAGUUGAAUCCUGCUGCAAGAGAGUCAGUGUUUAGAGAGUGUUUGCUUUAACCUUAAAAGGUGAAGUAAUUAAUAUCACUGAUGUUGGGAACUCGAGGCUCACCUUUAUCCAACAAGUGCAUACCUAGGGAAGGCAAAAUACCUAUAGGCAAAGAAAAAGCAGUCUUGGAUAGUUCUUUUAAUUAUUUCAUUUAUCACCUAUUUUGAGGGAGACUGUGUACUCCAGAUCAAUGUGUACAUGUAAGAAAUAUACUUUCCAUCUCAACGCUGUCCACACAUGCACACAUACAUGAGUAAGUACACAAAAACACACGCAGUCACACACAAAACUGAAAUUAAAUUUCUUCAACAUAUUGUCUAUCCCAACUAGAGUUGAGCUAUCGGAUUUUUUGGGUUUUUUUUUUAGACAACUCUGUCACCCAGGCUGGAGUGCAGUGGCAUGACUUUGGCUCUCUGCAACCUCCACUUACUGAGUUCAAGAAAUUCUCCUGCCAUGAGACAAGAUGGUGCCAUUGCACUCCAGUCUGGGCAACAACAGCAAAACUCCGUCUCAAAACAAACAAACAAACAAACAAACAAACAAACAAACAAACAAACAAACAAACCCUAACAUCAUUCAGAGUUGCCCAGUAACUGUGUUGCCCACACAUACUGCUCCUAUUCUCAUGACCCCAUCAUAAUUGUAAUGCCACUUCUCUCUGUACAUGACUUCCUCUUCUCGGCCUCCAUUUCAAUUGUUCUCUUUCCACUUCUUCCAAUUGUUCUUUUUUUUUUUUUUUUACAUUUGUAUCUUCUGAAGAGAAAAUGUAACUGAAUCUCUGAGUUGCCUUCUGAUACAGAAUGUUCCAGUUAAGUUGUUCUUAUGGGCAAGGCCAGCUUAAUCCAUAACUAGUUGCCUUUGGUCAGGAAAUUAUUUUGGCUGUGGUCACAUAACACAAAACAUGUGAAGAUAAAUAGAAACAGGUACAGUCCUAUACAAAAUUAAGGUAUUGAGUUAAUAAAUGCAGUUUUGUGGUAUCUGUGAAGAUUAUUAAUAAAUAGUAGAGGCUGGCUGUGGGAAAGGUGAUAUAGAAGCACUGGAUAUAUCUUAUGAUGUUACUAUGCACAAUGACA